GGAGCUUGCUCCCGGAUGUUAGCGGCGGACGGGUGAGUAACACGUGGGUAACCUGCCUGUAAGACUGGGAUAACUCCGGGAAACCGGAGCUAAUACCGGAUAGUUCCUUGAACCGCAUGGUUCAAGGAUGAAAGACGGUUUCGGCUGUCACUUACAGAUGGACCCGCGGCGCAUUAGCUAGUUGGUGAGGUAACGGCUCACCAAGGCGACGAUGCGUAGCCGACCUGAGAGGGUGAUCGGCCACACUGGGACUGAGACACGGCCCAGACUCCUACGGGAGGCAGCAGUAGGGAAUCUUCCGCAAUGGACGAAAGUCUGACGGAGCAACGCCGCGUGAGUGAUGAAGGUUUUCGGAUCGUAAAGCUCUGUUGUUAGGGAAGAACAAGUGCAAGAGUAACUGCUUGCACCUUGACGGUACCUAACCAGAAAGCCACGGCUAACUACGUGCCAGCAGCCGCGGUAAUACGUAGGUGGCAAGCGUUGUCCGGAAUUAUUGGGCGUAAAGGGCUCGCAGGCGGUUUCUUAAGUCUGAUGUGAAAGCCCCCGGCUCAACCGGGGAGGGUCAUUGGAAACUGGGAAACUUGAGUGCAGAAGAAGAGAGUGGAAUUCCACGUGUAGCGGUGAAAUGCGUAGAGAUGUGGAGGAAC
Molecule: ribosomal RNA, 647 nt
Filed under: bacterium VII.2
Lineage: Bacteria
Description: bacterial SSU rRNA
Rfam family: Bacterial small subunit ribosomal RNA
Source: RNAcentral